CUCCUAAAUGUUCUGGGCCGCACGCGCACCACACUGACAAAGGCACUGAGUGUGCCUUGUGCGAUCUGCUUGGAGACGAGUGGGUAAUCUGUGAAACCUUGUCGUGUUGGGGAUAGAUGAUUGCAAUUAUUCGCCUUAAACGCGGAAUGCCUAGUAAUGGUUUGUCAUCAGCGAGCCGUGACUAUGUCCCUGCCAUUUGUACACACCGCCCGUCGUUGCUAUCGAUUGGCUGUUUGACAGAGGACUUAGGAGAGGGCCUUGUCUUCGGACAUGGGCUUCGGCUGUUGCCUUCGAAUCUGUCCAAUGUCUAGCAGCUAGAGAAAGCAAAAGUCGUANCA
Molecule: ribosomal RNA, 338 nt
Filed under: uncultured eukaryote
Lineage: Eukaryota
Description: partial 18S ribosomal RNA
Rfam family: Eukaryotic small subunit ribosomal RNA
Source: RNAcentral